Molecule: ribosomal RNA, 511 nt
Filed under: Dacus siliqualactis
Lineage: Eukaryota; Metazoa; Arthropoda; Insecta; Diptera; Tephritidae
Description: partial 16S ribosomal RNA
Rfam family: Bacterial large subunit ribosomal RNA (bases 387-511)
Source: RNAcentral
GUCUUUUUGAGUUAUUUUGAAAGUCUGACCUGNCCACUGAAUUUUUAAAUGGCCGCAGUAUUCUAACUGUGCAAAGGUAGCAUAAUCAUUAGUCUUUUAAUUGGAGGCUGGUAUGAACGGUUGGACGAGGUAUUAACUGUUUCAUAUAUAUUUAUAUUAGAAUUUUAUUUUUUAGUUAAAAAGCUAAAAUAGUAUUAAAAGACGAGAAGACCCUAUAAAUCUUUAUAUUUUGUAUAUUUUAAAUGGUUUAGAUUUAUUUUAUUUUUAUUAUAAAAGAUAUUUUGUUGGGGUGAUGUUAAAAUUUAAUGAACUUUUAAUUAUUAAUGGUCAUUAAUUUAUGUAUUAUUGAUCCACUAAUAGUGAUUAUAAGAUUAAGUUACUUUAGGGAUAACAGCGUAAUUUUUUUGGAGAGUUCAUAUCGAUAGAAAAGUUUGCGACCUCGAUGUUGGAUUAAGAUAUAAUUUUAGGUGUAGCCGCUUAAAUUUUAAGUCUGUUCGACUUUUAAAUUCUU